CAAACCAAAGCUGGCGACCGGCGCACGGGUGAGUAACACGUAUCCAACCUGCCUCAUACUCGGGGAUAGCCUUUCGAAAGAAAGAUUAAUACCCGAUGGCAUAGUUCUUCCGCAUGGUGGAACUAUUAAAGAAUUUCGGUCAUCGAUGGGGAUGCGUUCCAUUAGGUUGUUGGCGGGGUAACGGCCCACCAAGCCUUCGAUGGAUAGGGGUUCUGAGAGGAAGGUCCCCCACAUUGGAACUGAGACACGGUCCAAACUCCUACGGGAGGCAGCAUG
Molecule: ribosomal RNA, 276 nt
Filed under: uncultured bacterium
Lineage: Bacteria
Description: partial 16S ribosomal RNA
Rfam family: Bacterial small subunit ribosomal RNA
Source: RNAcentral